Non-coding RNA from Solanum lycopersicum (tomato), 1063 nucleotides. NCBI's taxonomy places the organism in Eukaryota, Viridiplantae, Streptophyta, Magnoliopsida, Solanales, Solanaceae. The record is from RefSeq and is a predicted model, not a curated record.
AAUAAAAAAAAAUUAUCAUUAUAAAUGACAAAUAUUUUUUUUAUUCUUUAGUAUAUUUAUGGAAGUUUCCCUAAAAAAUAAGCAUUGAUGUCGAAGUGGCCUACGUUGAAAGGCAUUAUCGCAGUUUUGGUAUAAAUAUGUGUGCUCCUUCACUCUUAACUUUCAGGUACCAUCAUGCCUCUUUUAAGUCAAAAUUAUCAAUAAAAAUAUGGAUUUGGCUCCUCUUUUUUUAAAAAAAGAAACAAAAAGAUUUAAUCUUGUCAACCUUUUACUCAGCAAAUGGUAAACCUGGACGAUCUGAAGAUCAUUAUAAGCUUACAUUGUGUAUACAUGGGGAUUCAAAUUCUGCCGAGACAAAAUUGACGAUUGCAUUAAGAACAUUCCCAAUGACUUCUUUUCGCACGGAUUUUGUUCAGUGGAUGACAAAAGGAUUUUCAGUAACACCAUGUUUCACGAUGAAAAAUGAAUUGUGACCUUUUGAUCACCGGAUUGUUCAUGCCAAGGGCAGACUGAUGGAAACUCAAAAGUAGAAGAAUAUCAGCCCACAGAAUUACAGAGCAAACAAAGUAUUGUUUUUAUCGUAACUAUAACAAAUAACAAGAAGAAAACUAUCUAGAGGUAGAUAUUCAGAUAAAGGAAAAGAAAUUCAUCUAGAGGUAGACAUGCAAAUAAAGAAACGAUUAUAACCGGUGGAGCAUAGAGCUAGAACAAAACAGAAAAGUGAUGGUAAAGGAUUUUCACUUGACGGUGCAAAAUCACAAUUGAUAGGUACCUUUUUGAAGAAUGAAGAUAGUAAUGUCAAAAUUACAUGGCAGAAAAAUCAAUCUAAACAUGGUAACCUCACAUCAAGAAACUACCUCAAUCACAUGAUUUUGCACAGACCAAAUUAUUAUUGUUUUGCCAUAUUUAGAGGUAAUUGUUUCUUAAAAGCUGUAACCACAAUGUACGAUCCAAUUCUCUCUAACAUCAAAGUGGUGUUCAACAUGUUUUAUGUUAAAACAUAACUGAUAGCUUGUACUAACAUUAUUUUCUUUUGACUCUAUAUGAAGAACUUGAAUCAGUA